AACGAACGCUGGCGGCAUGCCUAACACAUGCAAGUCGAACGAGACCUUCGGGUCUAGUGGCGCAAGGGUGCGUAACGCGUUGGAACCUGCCCUUAGGUUCGGAAUAACUCCCCGAAAGGGGUGCUAAUACCGGAUAAUGUUUCCGGACCAAAGAUGUAUCGCCUUUGGAUGGGCCCGCGUUGGAUUAGCUAGUUGUUAGGGUAAAAGCCUACCAAGGCGACGAUCCAUAGCUGGUCUGAGAGCAUGAUCAGCCACACUGGGACUGAGACACGGCCCAGACUCCUACGGGAAGCAGCAGUGAGGAAUAUAGGACAAGGGGCGAAAGCCAGAUCCAGCAAUGCUGGGUGAGUGAUGAAGGCCUUAGGGUUGUAAAGCUCUUUGACCCGGGAUGAUAAUGACAGUACCGGGAGAAUAAGCUCCGGCUAACUACGUG
Molecule: ribosomal RNA, 433 nt
Filed under: uncultured bacterium
Lineage: Bacteria
Description: partial 16S ribosomal RNA
Rfam family: Bacterial small subunit ribosomal RNA
Source: RNAcentral